AGAGUUUGAUCCUGGCUCAGGAUGAACGCUAGCUACAGGCUUAACACAUGCAAGUCGAGGGGCAGCAUGGUCUUAGCUUGCUAAGGCUGAUGGCGACCGGCGCACGGGUGAGUAACACGUAUCCAACCUGCCGUCUACUCUUGGCCAGCCUUCUGAAAGGAAGAUUAAUCCAGGAUGGGAUCAUGAGUUCACAUGUCCGCAUGAUUAAAGGUAUUUUCCGGUAGACGAUGGGGAUGCGUUCCAUUAGAUAGGUAGGCGGGGUAACGGCCACCUAGUCAACGAUGGAUAGGGGUUCUGAGAGGAAGGUCCCCCANAUUGGAACUGAGACACGGUCCAAACUCCUACGGGAGGCA
Molecule: ribosomal RNA, 353 nt
Filed under: uncultured bacterium
Lineage: Bacteria
Description: bacterial SSU rRNA
Rfam family: Bacterial small subunit ribosomal RNA
Source: RNAcentral